CCCGCAUGUACCCAUAUAGAUAAGAAAACCCUAACUCACAAGCCUCCGCCGCCACCAGCUCGACCUCGCUCCUCCAAAUCCUCCACACCGCCAACCUCAGCAUCUCGCAUCUAGCAAUCUGUCCCGUGAUAUGGAGUGAGCGGUGGUGCCAGGUGGGCCCAUCACUGGCGCUGCCGUGAGGGGACUCCUCUGCAUCGUGGUUGCCGGCCGGCGCCGGCGCCGGCGCCGUGGUGCACGUGGCUGAUUGGGACACUGGAUCUGAGGAGCCCAUCAUCUGUUUGAGUGGCACAUUCGAGAUCUUGCUGAUAAUUUGACUAUUUGAUGAACACACCCUCUCCCACGAACUGCAGACCUUUCUGAUUAGCUGGACACUGGAUCUAAGGAGCCCGUCAUCUGUUUGAGUAGCACAUUGGGGAUCUUGCUGAUAAUUUGACUAUUUGAAGAACAUACUGGUUCCCUCUCCCACGAAUUGCAGACCUCUCCAAUUAAAUAGCAAAAAUGCAUGGCCUUCAGCACAGAAAGCUUACCAGCAACAAGGAUGCAAUAAGGGGUGGAAGCAAUCAAACUGGGUGCACUGAAAGGAGCAUUGCUGCUGCUGGUAAGUCCAAAAGAGCUAACACUAAAAGGGUUGGAGCUCAUACUGGGAGCUCGGAAAGGAGCAGUGCAGAUGGUUCUAACUCCAGAAUGGUUGGAGUUGAUGAUGGUCACACUAGAAGGAUCAAUGCUGAUGGUGUGGACUCCACAAUGGUUGGAGGCGCCAACGGUGAACACUCUGAGAGGAGCAGUGCUAAUGGUAUGAACCAUGAAAGGGUUGCUAAUAGUGUCAACUCUCAACUGAAUGGCACUAGUGAUGGGGCCAACUGUGAAUUAAAUGGUACUAGUGAUGGUCUCAACUCUCCAUUGAAUGGUGCUAGUGAUGGUGGUAACUCCCAUGGAAAUAUUGGUUCCAAACGAGUUCGCUUGGAUGCUCCAAAAAGAGGGAGGGCAAAGAUGUCGCGGACAGAACUGAAAAUGGCUCCGCGUAGUGGGCGGGUGGAGCUUGCACCUAGAGGCCAUCGGAACAUACUUUUGGUCCUGAGAAGAGUGGCACAUUAAACACAUAUGCUGUAACGAAAUCUAGAUUCAAAACUGUAGACAGCACUGGAAAGGCUGGUCCCAUUCACAGCCAAAAAGCACAAAGCCGCUUGGAUGACUACAGAUAGCUAGUUCCAGAUGAGAAUUCACAUGAACUUGAUGGGAAGGUGCUGCACAUUGUAGGAAACGGCAUGAAGCAUGGGCGUGUUCCAAUAGGCGAUGGUGCUGUGGACAAGGCAGCCAUUCUAAUACAUAGUAAAUAUGUACCUUUUAAACCAAUCAAUCCUGCUGAUUAUGAAAAGGUGCUCAAAGAAAAUGAGCAGCUGAAAGAGACUAAUGGGAUACUCAUUGAGCAAAUUAAUGUUAAUCAUGCACUGAUCAUGAAAAUGUAUUCUGAUUUUGGAAAAGAACCACCUCCAGAGCUGUUGGGGUGUCUAGGAAGUCUUGAUGCACGUCGUCAACAUGUUACAAAUUUUCUUCAAUGAUUGUAGUGUCCAAGUUUUUUGCGUUGAUGGUCUUUUGUCUAGAGAAUUAAUACUGUUUGGUGGCAGAAUGACAAUAUGAGUUGCAGCAGUGAAAAGGUGGCUUCUUGUUGAUUAGAAAUGUCAGCCUUAGUUUUAAGUUCAUGGCUAUUGGAUCUCCGCAUGGAUGCUCCCACUCUGUUCAUGAUAGGAGCAACAAUGAGAACACAGAUGAAAGCGAUGAUGAUGACUAUAGUGAAAGCGAUGACGACGACGAUGGUUCCUUUGAAGGAAAUGGCGAUUAUGAUCCUGAAUUAGAAGGCGAGGAUGAUGACGGCAAUGAAGUCGUCGGAGGCGAUCGUUGAUAACUAUUGCAGUGACUGAUCUACAAGCAGCAAAUGGAAUUGGUAUAAGACCCACGUACUAAUGCCGACUAAGUACUAGUUGCAUGCAUGAUGUGCUGUUAACUUCUUUUGCUCUAUUUUGGUAGAAGCUAACAUAUGAUGUGUAGCUGAGUUUUUGCUGAGUAUUUUGUGAGUGUGUGUGAUGAUGACAUGUAGGCAUGAUACAAUAUUGCCAUCCAGAUUAUAUGUAGGUAUGAUGAUGUGGUGAUGACAUGUUUGCUCUAUGCAAACUGGACUUGUACUGAGCAAAUGGUUGUUGGAUAUAUGAUCCGUACAUUAUUGAUGCAAUCAUAUAUCCAAUUUGGCUCAAUUGAAUUGUGACUUUGUUUGUA
Long non-coding RNA from Panicum virgatum (switchgrass), 2271 nucleotides. RefSeq lists it as uncharacterized. The record is from RefSeq and is a predicted model, not a curated record. The transcript is spliced from 8 exons. Lineage: Eukaryota; Viridiplantae; Streptophyta; Magnoliopsida; Poales; Poaceae.